Molecule: small nucleolar RNA, 148 nt
Filed under: Drosophila yakuba
Lineage: Eukaryota; Metazoa; Arthropoda; Insecta; Diptera; Drosophilidae
Description: snoRNA:GE27024
Source: RNAcentral
UAAAAGCAAAUUCUGUAACACAAAAUGAUAACUCUAAACCACUACAAAUUUAUAAUUGGAGUUUAAAAUGUAAUUAGAAUAGCUUUAAUUUAUAUUUUCCUCAAUUCUGCCCAUUAAGAAGCACAAAAUUUUAAAAUUGGCUACAAUG